AGUCGUCACUCCAUGACCUAAACAUACCAGUAUCAGCUGAUGGUGAGAUCACAUUGCCUCCAACAUUAAGCCGGUAAACAUUCUCAAGGGCAGUAGAAUUGUCAAUAAUGAAAGCAGCAGUCUGACCCACGAUGGAGGUAGUCCCAUCCUCAGUAUUAUAGAUGUCACGAUGUGAAAUAAUCUGACGAUGAAGGUAGUCCCAUCCUCAGUAUUAUAGAUGUCACGAUGUGAAAUAAUCUCAAUCCCAUUGACAAACGCAAAGGAGUUUGAAGUAUUUGGAGAGGGUGUGAAAGUCAUGUUCAAAGUUUCAGAUGGCACAUUGAUUGAAAAUUCCUUUGUCAAGUAAUCGUAGUUGAGAGCUUCAGCAGUUUGUGCUGCACUGAAGUUUCUAAGGAGGGAAUAUGGUCCAACAGUCACACUGAAAAUGGCAUUGGUGGCAUUAAGCUUGUUGUAAGACGAGGGAUAAAAAUACAGACGGACAAACUUACGACCAGGUGCUACAGGGAAACUAUAGGUGAAUUCAGACUGGAAAACACGGGCAGACAUAAAAGGGACUUGAGGGACAGAGGGCUUUUGAUCAGCAGCAUCAGAGGUUGAUGACUUGCUACCUUUCAAAUAUGUUGACCCAAUAUCCGAACCCCAUUUUCGACCAUCGGCAUCUUUAAGACCGUCAGGACCUCCACAGUUCAACAGAAUAUCAUCACCAGGUGCAGAAUUUUGAGCCAAUGUCACUUUAACGACAACAGCCAACCACAGGAAAGUGAAAGCCAAGAGAAAACAGAAUUUACUGCCUUCUGUCAUUGAUGCUAUACGUGCCAAUACUAAAAGUCACUGGAAAACAAAAAAGAAUUGCAAAGAAAAGAUCAAUAUCUUACUGUUUACCUCCACGCAAAUUUAAUCACAUAAGAUCAAGAACAAUGAAAAAUCAUAGGAAAGCUGGAUUUUUUAAGUCCUAAUAAGCAAUCAAUCAGGGGUUAGACCAUUCUGCAGCUAAAAUACCAGUUGAAAUGAGCUCACUUUUCAAAUAAAUCUACAGGACAAACAAGCGCUAAGUCCAAAAUAAAGGAACCCCAGUAUCAAGAUCCACACUAUAAGAAGCAGCCAAUAGCAUAAAGCGCAUAGAUAAAAUUUUAAAAGCUAAAAGAAAGUAGUAAGUCCAAACUAAAGAAUCCCUAGUAUCAUCAAUACUCAAUACAAGAAGCAGCUAAUAGCAUAAAAAUGGAUAUAUAACUAAAUUUUGGAGCUAAGUAAAAAGCAUCCAGUCCAAAACAAAGAAACCCCGUUACCCUAAUAUCAAGAUCCACUAAAAGAAACAGCUAAAAGCAUGAACAUGGACUUGCAACAAAAUAUUGGGAGCUAAAUAAUUGCAUAAGCAAAAGGAUAAUUUACCUAAAGAAUCAGCAAGAAACUGAGAGAUCCAAAAAAAGCAAACUUUAAGCCAUUCUUGGGUUGACUAAACCCACAAGAACUGAAUUCUAAGCUGCAGUCAGCUGAAGAAGAAGCUCAGGCUCAGAUCAAAGAAGAGAGAGAAUAGGGUUUGAGUUUUAGAGAGAUGGCAAGCUAGAGAGAGAAACAAAGAGAGAAGUAAAAUUGAAGGAAGUUGGUAGUUUAAUAAGUUGCUUUUGAGUUUGAUAUUAAAACUCUGCUUACUUUGGUAAUCCAGAUUAUGAAAAUAGAAAUACCAAGUCCUAACUACUUAUAAAUUGACAGAAAUACCCUUAACAGUGCGUUGAAAU
Molecule: long non-coding RNA, 1736 nt
Filed under: Nicotiana benthamiana
Lineage: Eukaryota; Viridiplantae; Streptophyta; Magnoliopsida; Solanales; Solanaceae
Description: long non-coding RNA (NBEN_LNC016461)
Source: RNAcentral